This 123-nucleotide ribosomal RNA is filed under the name Wittrockiella lyallii. Its description in RNAcentral is "partial 5.8S ribosomal RNA". It matches the Rfam family "5.8S ribosomal RNA", at positions 32 to 154 of the family's 154-position model. Rfam says of the family: 5.8S ribosomal RNA (5.8S rRNA) is a component of the large subunit of the eukaryotic ribosome. The record is from RNAcentral. Lineage: Eukaryota; Viridiplantae; Chlorophyta; Ulvophyceae; Cladophorales; Pithophoraceae. RNAcentral also lists the same sequence under 1 other name.
AUCGAUGAAGAACGCAGCAAAGCGCGAUAGGUAGUGUGAAUUGCAGAAUUCCGCGAAUCAUCGAAUCUUUGAACGCAUAUUGCGCCCGAGCCUUCUGGCUUGGGCAUGUCUGCCUCAGCGUCG